This 263-nucleotide unclassified non-coding RNA is filed under the name plant metagenome. RNAcentral describes it as "partial contains small subunit ribosomal RNA, internal transcribed spacer 1, and 5.8S ribosomal RNA". The record is from RNAcentral.
UCUCCGUAGGUGAACCAGCGGAGGGAUCAUUACCGAGUUUACAACUCCCAAACCCAAUGUGAACGUUACCAAACUGUUGCCUCGGCGGGAUCUCUGCCCCGGGUGCGUCGCAGCCCCGGACCAAGGCGCCCGCCGGAGGACCAACCUAAAACUCUUAUUGUAUACCCCCUCGCGGGUUUUUUUAUAAUCUGAGCCUUCUCGGCGCCUCUCGUAGGCGUUUCGAAAAUGAAUCAAAACUUUCAACAACGGAUCUCUUGGUUCUG